GAGGGUAUAGCUCAGUGGUAGAGCGCAUGCUUAGCAUGCACGAGGUCCUGGGUUCAAUCCCCAGUGCCUCCU
This 72-nucleotide transfer RNA is filed under the name Camelus bactrianus (Bactrian camel). It matches the Rfam family "tRNA". From Rfam's summary of the family: Transfer RNA (tRNA) molecules are approximately 80 nucleotides in length. RNAcentral also lists the same sequence under 2 other names. Lineage: Eukaryota; Metazoa; Chordata; Mammalia; Artiodactyla; Camelidae. The record is from Rfam by way of RNAcentral.